Molecule: ribosomal RNA, 301 nt
Filed under: uncultured bacterium
Lineage: Bacteria
Description: partial 16S ribosomal RNA
Rfam family: Bacterial small subunit ribosomal RNA
Source: RNAcentral
CAGUAGCCGCGGUAAUACGAAGGGGGCUAGCGUUGUUCGGAAUUACUGGGCGUAAAGCGCACGUAGGCGGAUUUUUAAGUCAGGGGUGAAAUCCCGAGGCUCAACCUCGGAACUGCCUUUGAUACUGGAGAUCUUGAGUUCGGAAGAGGUUGGUGGAACAGCUAGUGUAGAGGUGAAAUUCGUAGAUAUUAGCUAGAACACCAGUGGCGAAGGCGGCCAACUGGUCCGAUACUGACGCUGAGGUGCGAAAGCGUGGGGAGCAAAUAGGAUUAGAGACCCCAGUAGUCCCUGUCUCUUAUAC